GGAUGUUCCGUAGAGUCUGCCACGAAUGUGGUAUGUACUUACAUGCGACGUCCAUCCUCGAAGGGAACUUAUGUGUCAUUGAGUUGAUGUGUAAGGUAACUUCGUCAUUUACUGUGAGCAAAAUAGGGUGUUCAAAGCAGGCUUAUGCCGUUGAAUACAUUAGCAUGGAAUAAUAAGAUAGGACCUCGGUCUAUUUUGUUGGUUGUAUUCGGAGGUA
RNAcentral lists this ribosomal RNA (217 nucleotides) under uncultured fungus. RNAcentral's name for it is "partial small subunit ribosomal RNA". The record is from RNAcentral. Lineage: Eukaryota; Fungi.